RNAcentral lists this ribosomal RNA (465 nucleotides) under Vreelandella stevensii. RNAcentral's name for it is "partial 16S ribosomal RNA". It matches the Rfam family "Bacterial small subunit ribosomal RNA", at positions 338 to 795 of the family's 1533-position model. The record is from RNAcentral. Lineage: Bacteria; Pseudomonadati; Pseudomonadota; Gammaproteobacteria; Oceanospirillales; Halomonadaceae.
CCUACGGGAGGCAGCAGUGGGGAAUAUUGGACAAUGGGCGAAAGCCUGAUCCAGCCAUGCCGCGUGUGUGAAGAAGGCCUUCGGGUUGUAAAGCACUUUCAGUGGGGAAGAAAGCCUUGGGGCUAAUACCCUCGAGGAAGGACAUCACCCACAGAAGAAGCACCGGCUAACUCCGUGCCAGCAGCCGCGGUAAUACGGAGGGUGCGAGCGUUAAUCGAAAUUACUGGGCGUAAAGCGCGCGUAGGCGGUCUGAUAAGCCGGUUGUGAAAGCCCCGGGCUCAACCUGGGAACGGCAUCCGGAACUGUCAGGCUAGAGUGCAGGAGAGGAAGGUAGAAUUCCCGGUGUAGCGGUGAAAUGCGUAGAGAUCGGGAGGAAUACCAGUGGCGAAGGCGGCCUUCUGGACUGACACUGACGCUGAGGUGCGAAAGCGUGGGUAGCAAACAGGAUUAGAUACCCGAGUAGUC